UGCCUUUCAUAAAGGAUAUUCUAUAGAUGGUCCUGCUGCUUGGAAAAACAAAUCAGGGAAACUAGAGACAGUACACCAAGAGUUUCAGAUAAGAUGCCUCUUGAAUGAACAUUUCUAACU
Long non-coding RNA from Amblyraja radiata (thorny skate), 120 nucleotides. RefSeq lists it as uncharacterized. The transcript has 3 exons. Lineage: Eukaryota; Metazoa; Chordata; Chondrichthyes; Rajiformes; Rajidae. The record is from RefSeq and is a predicted model, not a curated record.